Molecule: non-coding RNA, 58 nt
Filed under: Asticcacaulis sp. YBE204
Lineage: Bacteria; Pseudomonadati; Pseudomonadota; Alphaproteobacteria; Caulobacterales; Caulobacteraceae
Description: sul1 RNA
Rfam family: sul1 RNA
Source: Rfam by way of RNAcentral
AAUGGACCUGGUCUGAGCUGCCGGGUGGCUAUUCCGGGCGCCGAUCCCUCGGACAACG